UACAGAGGUCUCAAGCGUUGUUCGGAAUCACUGGGCGUAAAGCGUGCGCAGGCGGUUCCAUAAGACAGAUGUGAAAUCCCCGGGCUUAACCUGGGAACUGCGUUUGUGACUGUGGGACUCGAGUGUGGCAGAGGGGGGUGGAAUUCCACGUGUAGCAGUGAAAUGCGUAGAGAUGUGGAGGAACACCGAUGGCGAAGGCAGCCCCCUGGGUCAACACUGACGCUCAUGCACGAAAGCGUGGGGAGCAAACAGGAUUAGAAA
This 261-nucleotide ribosomal RNA is filed under the name uncultured bacterium. RNAcentral's name for it is "partial 16S ribosomal RNA". It matches the Rfam family "Bacterial small subunit ribosomal RNA", at positions 524 to 784 of the family's 1533-position model. The record is from RNAcentral.